UAAAUAGAUAGAGGAUCAGAUUAUGACUCUGAAAAUUGAGGGUUCGAUUCCUUUUACG
RNAcentral lists this transfer RNA (58 nucleotides) under Fragilariopsis kerguelensis. RNAcentral describes it as "partial tRNA". The record is from RNAcentral. Lineage: Eukaryota; Bacillariophyta; Bacillariophyceae; Bacillariales; Bacillariaceae.